GCCCGAUUAGCUCAGCUGGUUAGAGCGUCGUACUAAUACCGGGAAACCCGUAUAAGGUAUGCCGAAGGUCAACAGUUCAAUCCUGUUAUUGGGCA
This is a non-coding RNA of Chaetomium globosum CBS 148.51, 95 nucleotides long. The record is from the annotation of a RefSeq genome assembly. NCBI's taxonomy places the organism in Eukaryota, Fungi, Ascomycota, Sordariomycetes, Sordariales, Chaetomiaceae.